This 284-nucleotide ribosomal RNA is filed under the name Sphingobium sp. faro2_14. RNAcentral's name for it is "partial 16S ribosomal RNA". It matches the Rfam family "Bacterial small subunit ribosomal RNA", at positions 88 to 389 of the family's 1533-position model. The record is from RNAcentral. Lineage: Bacteria; Pseudomonadati; Pseudomonadota; Alphaproteobacteria; Sphingomonadales; Sphingobiaceae.
GGAUCUAGUGGCGCACGGGUGCGUAACGCGUGGGAAUCUGCCCUUGGGUUCGGAAUAACUUCUGGAAACGGAAGCUAAUACCGGAUGAUGACGUAAGUCCAAAGAUUUAUCGCCCAAGGAUGAGCCCGCGUAGGAUUAGGUAGUUGGUGAGGUAAAGGCUCACCAAGCCGACGAUCCUUAGCUGGUCUGAGAGGAUGAUCAGCCACACUGGGACUGAGACACGGCCCAGACUCCUACGGGAGGCAGCAGUAGGGAAUAUUGGACAAUGGGCGAAAGCCUGAUCC